CACCGGCGGCUCGAGUGGUGGCCACUUUUAUUGGGUCUAAAGCGCCCGUAGCCGGCUUGGCAAGUCCCCUGGGAAAUCUGGCGGCUUAACCGUCAGGCGUCCAGAGGAUACUGCCAGGCUUGGGACCGGGAGAGGUGAGAGGUACCUCAGGGGUAGGGGUGAAAUCUUGUGAUCCCUGAGGGACCACCAGUGGCGAAGGCGUCUCACUAGAACGGGUCCGACGGUCAGGGACGAAAGCUGGGGGCACGAACCGG
RNAcentral lists this ribosomal RNA (254 nucleotides) under uncultured microorganism. Its description in RNAcentral is "partial 16S ribosomal RNA". It matches the Rfam family "Archaeal small subunit ribosomal RNA", at positions 474 to 727 of the family's 1478-position model. The record is from RNAcentral.